Molecule: ribosomal RNA, 253 nt
Filed under: uncultured bacterium
Lineage: Bacteria
Description: partial 16S ribosomal RNA
Rfam family: Bacterial small subunit ribosomal RNA
Source: RNAcentral
UACGGAGGGGGCGAGCGUUAUCCGGAAUUACUGGGUGUAAAGGGCGUGUAGGCGGCACUUUAAGUCAGAUGUGAAAUCUCCCGGCUCAACCUGGAAAGUGCAUCUGAUACUGCAGUGCUUGAAUGAGAGAGAGGAGAGCGGAAUUCCUAGUGUAGCGGUAAAAUGCGUAGAUAUUAGGAAGAACACCAGUGGCGAAGGCGGCUUACUGGCUAUUAAUUGACGCUGAGGCGCGAAAGCGUGGGGAGCAAACAGG